Lactuca sativa (garden lettuce) is the source of this 1949-nucleotide non-coding RNA. The record is from RefSeq and is a predicted model, not a curated record. Lineage: Eukaryota; Viridiplantae; Streptophyta; Magnoliopsida; Asterales; Asteraceae.
AUGCUUCUAUCUUUUUCUUUCUUCUAAUUUUUCGAAAUCUGAGAGUGCCAUUUCAAAGUUUGUGAAAAUCAAAAUCAAAAUCAUAUUAUGUUUCAUCUGAUUUCGAGCAUAGGAGGAGAUACAUGUUGAAUUUUGUUCAAAUUCAUCUUAUAUGUGUUGUUUUUUUAUUAUACAUGCUGAAUUUUGUUCAAUUCCAUAUUAUAUGUGCUAUUUUUUUAUUAUACAUGCUGAAUUUUGUUCAAAUUUAUAUAACUUUUAAUUGUGAGGACCGUUAGUGAACAGUAUUUGGUUCCGAUUGGUGUUUUUUUUUUGCGACAGUGGGAUGCAUUCAGGUCCACAUUUAAGUCAUUGGCCACCGUCUCUGUUUCCCAAUAGCAUAGCUCCACCACAUAUAUAACUCCAUAUAUCUGUUGCUCGAUUCAUAUGUAAACAUAUUUCUUCACUGCCUUCUUCUUCCAAUCAUUCUCUCCCCCCACCUUCUAAAUCGACAUCGUCGGUAAACCCCCAUUCUAUCUAUCUAUAUGCUCUGUGGUUUGCUUAUAUCUAGAAAAAAAAACCUUUCCACCCUCACCUUCGAUGACGUAUCAACCCUUCUCCCCUCUGUCGCACCAUCCAAAUGCCAUUAAAGGUGGUUGCAGCCGCCUGCGCCAAGCCUACAACAAAUGGAAGUUUUCCGCCUUCAAUUCUUCUUUACCACAGUCCGUUUUCAAUUUUGUUGGAUCAAGUGUUAGGGUUUUUUGGUGUUUAAUAUGUGUUUCUGUUUCCUAAUAGCACAGCUCCGCCACACUACCGACUCAAUAUUUGUUGCUCAAUUCAUAUGUACAUGUAUUUCUUCACCGUUGCCUUCUUCCAAUCAUUCUCUUCCCCCACCUUCUAAAUCGACCUUGCCGGUAAACCCCCAUUCUAUUUAUCUUUAUGCUUUUAAAUCGACCUCGUCAGUAAACCCCCAUUCUAUAUAUCUUUAUGCUCUGUGGUUUGCUUAUAUCUGAAAAAAUCCUUUCCACCCCCUCCUUCGACGACGUAUCAACCCUUCUCCCCUCUGUCGCACAAGCCAAACGCCAUUAAAGGUGGUUGCAGCAGCCUCCGCCAAGUCUACAAUAAAUGGAAGUUUGUCGCCUUCAAUUCUUCUUUACCACUGUCUGUUUUCAAUUUUGUUGGAUCGAGUUUUAGGGUUUUUGGUGUUUAAUAUGUGGUUUGGUUAUCAUCUGCCUCUUCCGAACAUGAAAAUCAUGCCCACAAGCUUUUAACAUCCCAAUACCAUCCAUAUUCGCAUACUCUUCCUGUAAAUUUUUAACCACAUCAACUAAAUAUAUAUAAUUUUUUUAAAACAUUUUAAUUAAGAACAAUAAAUUGAUUCUUGUACGCAUUUUGAGAUAAGAUGAUUAGGGACACCAGUGGCUACACUUCCUAUUCUUUCCCCAAGUGUAAGGAGCUCCUUCUUUGACCAAAUUUGAAGAAAAAAAAACGGCCAAAACUGUAAAAUCAUAUAGAAACUUACUAACCUCAUAGCUCAUGUCAUUUAUGGAAAGUCUCAUUUGUUUACAUUCUUCAAGGGAAUGUGGUUCACUUAAUUUACAAUAUGGUUGGUUUUGUGUGCAGAUUAUACUUAUAUUAUUAUAGGAGGGAUAUGGUGUUAGUAGAUUGCACAUUUCCAAUAAUGCGAUCAAGACAAAUUGUUCCAUGUAAGAGUUGAUCAUGUGACCAAUGCGUUUAUUCAAUGUCAUCAAUGGUGGACCACAUGCUAGAAACAAGCUUGGUAUGCAGGAAUUCAUGAUUGAAGAAGACAAGGAAGGACUUGAUGCAUAAAACAACCAUUGGUCAGGUUGGAGAAGUUGUGAUUAGAAUAGACGUUUCUACAUGUAAAUGUGGUCAUAUUUGUAAAUAAGUCCUUAUCUACGCAUAAAUAAAUAUUUAGUAACAGUAAUAAAAGGCUAUGGAAUACCCUCCAA